GUACUUACCUGAACGGGGUCGACGACUGAUCAAGAAGAGUCGUGGCCUAGGCUAGUGGUCCACAUUGCAAUUGGUGGAUGCGCUGGCUUACCUUUGUGGUAGAGGGGUACGCGUCCGCGCGGCCCCUGC
This 129-nucleotide small nuclear RNA is filed under the name Triticum dicoccoides. RNAcentral's name for it is "snRNA U1". It matches the Rfam family "U1 spliceosomal RNA". Rfam says of the family: U1 is a small nuclear RNA (snRNA) component of the spliceosome (involved in pre-mRNA splicing). Its 5' end forms complementary base pairs with the 5' splice junction, thus defining the 5' donor site of an intron. There are significant differences in sequence and secondary structure between metazoan and yeast U1 snRNAs, the latter being much longer (568 nucleotides as compared to 164 nucleotides in human). The record is from RNAcentral. Lineage: Eukaryota; Viridiplantae; Streptophyta; Magnoliopsida; Poales; Poaceae.